RNAcentral lists this ribosomal RNA (441 nucleotides) under Dactylogyrus prostae. Its description in RNAcentral is "partial small subunit ribosomal RNA". It matches the Rfam family "Eukaryotic small subunit ribosomal RNA", at positions 1389 to 1831 of the family's 1831-position model. Lineage: Eukaryota; Metazoa; Platyhelminthes; Monogenea; Dactylogyridea; Dactylogyridae. The record is from RNAcentral. RNAcentral also lists the same sequence under 1 other name.
CCACAUAAGCAGGUGAAACUUCUUAGAGGAACUGGCGCCCGAAAAGGCGCACGAGAAAGAGCAAUAACAGGUCUGUGAUGCCCUAAGAUGUCCGGGGCCGCACGCGUGCUACAAUGACGAUGCUACUGAGCAUGAUUAACUUGUCCGAAAGGAUUGGUGAAACUGUUCAAUCAUCGUCGUGACUGGGAUUGGGGUUUGCAAUUGUCCCCCAUGAACCAGGAAUUCCUAGUAAGCACAAGUCAUAAGCUUGUGCUGAUUACGUCCCUGCCCUUUGUACACACCGCCCGUCGCUACUACCGAUUGAAUGGUUUAGCAAGGACAUUGGAUUGAGCCCUUGCGGUUUCGGCUGCUUGGGUUUGAGAAGAUGUCCGAACUUGAUCAUUUAGAGGAAGUAAAAGUCGUAACAAGGUUUCCGUAGGUGAACCUGCGGAAGGAUCAUUA